GGGCUGAUGGUCUAGAGGUAUGAUUCUCGCUUUGGGAUUCGUUAAUAGCGACUACUAAAUUGCGAGAGGUCCCGGGUUCAAUCCCCGGUCAGCCCC
This is a non-coding RNA of Bombardia bombarda, 96 nucleotides long. The record is from the annotation of a GenBank genome assembly. NCBI's taxonomy places the organism in Eukaryota, Fungi, Ascomycota, Sordariomycetes, Sordariales, Lasiosphaeriaceae.